This 68-nucleotide transfer RNA is filed under the name Lasthenia californica. RNAcentral's name for it is "tRNA-Thr". The record is from RNAcentral. Lineage: Eukaryota; Viridiplantae; Streptophyta; Magnoliopsida; Asterales; Asteraceae.
UUUUAACUCAUUGGUAGAGUAAUCCCAUGGUAAUGCGUAAGCCCUCGGUUCAAACCCGACAAGGGGCU